UCCAUCCCCCGUCACCCCCCGGUGUCCAGGUAUCCAUCACCCCCCGGUUCUCCCGUGGUUCCGGCUCCCCGCCCAACCGGACCCGCCGGGACAGCGGCUCGUCCUGCGUGUCCCCUCGGUCCGGCUCCCUGCUCUUACCGGGCGGCCCCGGUUCCGUUCGCCUGCUGCCCGCGCACCCUCCCCAUCCCCCCGGCUGGUACCCAGGGGUCGCGGGGGCCACCCCAGCAGCUGUCACCGAGCCGGACCGACAGCCAGCCAGGGACCCACGGCACGCCGAGCGCUUGGGGAAUUUCUCUUGUGUCUCCUGGCCCAGCUAUUUAUAGGAAUCUCCAAAUCCUUCCACUCCAGCUGCCCGUGGCCUGCACACUGACCCCUCCCGGGUCCUGCUCAGCAUCCCGGGAGCAGGACACGCAGCCGUCCCUGCCCUGUCCCCUCCCAGUGCUCAGCACACUGCUAAAGUCACCCUUCGCCCUCCGAACACACUGAGAGUGCCAUGUGAAUGCCACAGCUGAGCUCCCACCUCAGCCCAAACCUGGAGCUGCUCCCGGCAGAGGUGGCAGCUGUGGGUUUGGGUUUUGGACACCAGCAUGAGUUUGUUAUUUUCUUGAAGUCUAAGGUGCGACUCGGCCGAUUUAAUCCUGCUCCAGCCUCAGCGUGGGGCUGGGCACAGGAGGCAGUGAGGGCUCCCAGCCCAAGCUCAGGGAGCUGGGACCACAAGCCCGUGGAGAUGGCUCAGUGUCACCCUUCCUGAGGGUCCCCACACUCACUCCAGCCACCGGCAGCAGCCAGCGCUCCCCAGCUGAGGCUGAGAGGCUCCUUCAGGGGAGGGAACAGCUGCCUGAGGGCCCCACUGUCCCCUCUCUGCCUCCCACCCCAACCCUGGAGCCAGGGCAUGAAGAAAGGGCCAGUGCCUGGUGUUUCUGCCCCACACAACAGCAUCUGCUCAGGGCGCAGCAGAACAACCCCAGGAUCAGCUGCUGUCAGGCCAAACCCAGACCAGUCCCACCAGUUCCAUAACUUACAAGGAAACAGAUAAGCUACAGAGAGCUGCGAGUCCUGGAGUAUUUACACCGAGGAGGGCAGGAACAGGAGACUAAGCAACACAGGACGAGAGGUAUUUACAGCACGGACACACGGGCC
Motacilla alba alba is the source of this 1140-nucleotide long non-coding RNA. RefSeq lists it as uncharacterized. The transcript is spliced from 4 exons. Lineage: Eukaryota; Metazoa; Chordata; Aves; Passeriformes; Motacillidae. The record is from RefSeq and is a predicted model, not a curated record.